GAUGAAGAACGCAGCAAAAUGCGAUAAGUAAUGUGAAUUGCAGAAUUCAGUGAAUCAUCGAAUCUUUGAACGCACAUUGCGCCCGCCAGUAUUCUGGCGGGCAUGCCUGUUCGAGCGUCAUUUCAACCCUCAAGCUCAGCUUGGUGUUGGGACUCGCGGUAACCCGCGUUCCCCAAAUCGAUUGGCGGUCACGUCGAGCUUCCAUAGCGUAGUAAUCAUACACCUCGUUACUGGUAAUCGUCGCGGCCACGCCGUAAAACCCCGACUUCUGAAUGUUGACCUCGGAUCAGGUAGGAAUACCCGCUGAACUUAAGCAUAUCAAUAAGCGGAGGA
RNAcentral lists this unclassified non-coding RNA (333 nucleotides) under soil metagenome. Its description in RNAcentral is "partial contains 5.8S ribosomal RNA, internal transcribed spacer 2, and large subunit ribosomal RNA". The stretch from base 1 to 120 matches the Rfam family "5.8S ribosomal RNA", at positions 35 to 154 of the family's 154-position model. The record is from RNAcentral.